AGAGUUUGAUUCUGGCUCAGGAUGAACGCUAGCUACAGGCUUAACACAUGCAAGUCGAGGGGCAGCAUGGUCUUAGCUUGCUAAGGCCGAUGGCGACCGGCGCACGGGUGAGUAACGCGUAUCCAACCUGCCUUACACUCUUGGACAGCCUUCUGAAAGGGAGAUUAAUACAAGAUGUUAUCAUGAGUAAGCAUUUUCACAUGAUUAAAGGUUUACCGGUGUAAGAUGGGGAUGCGUUCCAUUAGAUAGUAGGCGGGGUAACGGCCCACCUAGUCUUCGAUGGAUAGGGGUUCUGAGAGGAAGGUCCCCCACAUUGGAACUGAGACACGGUCCAAACUCCUACGGGAGGCAGCAGUGAGGAAUAUUGGUCAAUGGACGAGAGUCUGAACCAGCCAAGUAGCGUGAAGGAUGAAGGUUCUAUGGAUUGUAAACUUCUUUUAUACGGGAAUAAACGAAUCCACGUGUGGAUUUUUGCAUGUACCGUAUGAAUAAGGAUCGGCUAACUCCGUGCCAACAGCCGCGGUAAUA
RNAcentral lists this ribosomal RNA (528 nucleotides) under uncultured bacterium. Its description in RNAcentral is "bacterial SSU rRNA". It matches the Rfam family "Bacterial small subunit ribosomal RNA", at positions 8 to 525 of the family's 1533-position model. The record is from RNAcentral.